CCCUUAGAUGUUCUGGGCCGCACGCGCGCUACACUGAUGCAUUCAACGAGUCUAAAACCUGCUCUGAUAGGGGUGGGUAAUCUUUUGAAUGUGCAUCGUGAUUGGGAUAGAUGAUUGCAAUUUUUCAUCUUCAACGAGGAAUGCCUAGUAAACGCAAGUCAUCAGCUUGCAUUGAUUACGUCCCUGCCCUUUGUACACACCGCCCGUCGCUCCUACCGAUUGAAUGAUCCGAUGAAUAUCAUGGAUUGAGGAUGCAAGCAGGUUCGCCUGUCUUCAUCUUCGAGAAGUGAAGUAAAUCUUAUCCUUUAGAGGAAGGAGAAGUCGUAACA
This 329-nucleotide ribosomal RNA is filed under the name uncultured eukaryote. RNAcentral's name for it is "partial 18S ribosomal RNA". It matches the Rfam family "Eukaryotic small subunit ribosomal RNA", at positions 1470 to 1796 of the family's 1831-position model. The record is from RNAcentral.